Molecule: long non-coding RNA, 2106 nt
Organism: Junco hyemalis (dark-eyed junco)
Lineage: Eukaryota; Metazoa; Chordata; Aves; Passeriformes; Passerellidae
Source: Ensembl
GUAUUCUGGGGAAGCACAGCUAUGCAUUGAUCUCUAAUUUGACUCUUACACUGCCACUAUAAGAAAUAUUUUUCUGACAUUAUUUUAUUCAUUGCUUUUUCCUAGCCCUCAAUGUACACGGAGCUCUAAGAACAUUUGCAGAUCAGGUUCCACAUUAAGUGUAGAUAAUUUGACAGUGAAGAAGCCACCACCUCCUACAUCAUACGCAGCAUGCAAAAAUAAAUCAAAACAUUUGCUUGUAGAACAGGAAAUGCAAUCUCUUACCAAACCCACUGAAAAGGAUUUAAACAAAUGUGAGUGGUAUGUUGGAGAAUAUGAUCGCCAUAAAGCAGAGAAGAUCCUGUUACAGAAAAACACUGUAAGUACCAUUUAUGUCAAAACAUAGGAUGUGAACUCCUGGGGGAAAACUUCUGUAAACUGUCCACAAUGGCAUACAAGUUUUGUUGUCAACUAACCAUACAAUCUGUAAUUUAAAUCUGUAUCAUUCAGGAUGAGACAUUCUUGGUUAGAGAUUGUUCAAAGAAAUCAAAGGCUGAACCAUACGUGUUGGUUGUUUAUUAUGGAAGAAGAGUAUACAACAUUAAAGUACGAUUCCUGGAAGAGAGCCAACAAUAUGCCUUGGGAACAGGGCUCAGAGGAGAGUGUGUAAGUAAAAUCCCAUCUGCUGUUACAGCCCAUGGCUUUUAUGUUAGACUUCACAAGUUCUUAAUACUAAAUAUUAGUUACAAACUCUCCCACAUAAAAAACUUGCUGUUUCAUUAAAGUUUCUUUUACAAUACCCGAAUUUUAAGUGUUUCAAAAUUCGAGCAGCUUCAACAUAAUUUAAUACCAAAUUUUGCAUACCAUGCUGAAAUUCAUAUUUUCAUCAAUUUUAAAAUCUUCUAAGUACUUACAAUACUUCUAUCUAUUGUAAGUAACACCUGCAAACUAAAAAGGAAAGAGAAGUUCUACCUUUUCUGGUAUACAUAUUAUUUUAGCAUAUUUUUAAACUUGUGAUAAUUUAAGCAGGCAUUUUCAAAUAUAUACAGCUCCACAUAAUCUGACAGCAGGACCUAGUGCUAUGAAGCAAUAGGAUAACAGUUGUCAUGGAUAUUCAGAAGCAAUUAAAGCAUGUGGGUCCCCAGCAAUCAGUCUUUCAGAUAUGGUAAAUUUCAAUUAGAAAAUCCCUUUAGAUGAGCAAAGCUUCUUUACAUAAUUAAAUUCAAUUAUAGUCAUGAUAAAAGUCUAAUUCUUAUUCUACAUAUAUGGUUAAAUGAUAAACACUGUAUCUGCAAGUCUUUCACACAAGAAAAAAUUCAUUAAAACUGAAAGUCAACUCUAUAAAAAUGUGAUACUUGCAAAACAAAACAAAAGAACCAAACAAAGAUUUUAAAAAAGACAAACACAACGUAAAAUUUAAAGAAUGCUCAACUACAGAACAAAAAAGCAAGGCAACAAACUCCUAUGGGUCAUUAGCUAUGUAAAUCACUAACAGAAAUCCAACUCAGGUGAACCAGCAAAAACUCUGCAGCUGAAUCUUCAAUUAUAUCCUUUUCAUGCAUGUAAACACUUUUCAGAACUUACCUUUUGUAUAGUUAGACUUUAAAAAGCCUGAAAUCACAAGUGACUCAAGAUGAUUUAAGGCAUUUGAUGGGUCCAAAGUUUGUAUUAGAAUUUUUAUUAGAAAACAUGGGAUAGGAUCCAUAAGCUUUCACAAGAGGAACAAUGUUUACUGGCAAGUUGUUCUUCAGGGACAUUUGCUUAAUGAUAAAGGGGGGAAAAUCCUUCAUUAUGCAAGCACAGUGAAACAGUUUGGAAGCUGGAAGGUUGCACAAAUCAAGACCUGUACUGCAUCAUCCUGGUGCUGCUGUAGUGACCAUCAGCAUUCUGUAAAGCACUGGCUUCAUCACUUAACUGAAAUUCCCAGAUGAUUUUCCUGGAAUUUUAGUAUGACUUAGGAGAAAGCAAGUUUAGUUUUCCAGGGUUCUGACACUGUUUAGUCUUCCUGUAAUGGCUCUAAUACAAACAGGCUCAGAACAGACACAAUGACACAAAUAAGGCAUGCUACAGCAUAAUGUAGUAUAUGUUAUUCUCACUAGAGAAUAAAGACACAGAACUAAAUUUUCA